CUGCAUUCACUGAUAGAUCUAUAACAACUUACUAUUAUCCUUUUGGUUUGUACCAGGAUGUAAAAGGAAAAAUCUCUGUGCCUUUGAAUAAAAUAAUACAUCU
Erinaceus europaeus (western European hedgehog) is the source of this 103-nucleotide small nucleolar RNA. Lineage: Eukaryota; Metazoa; Chordata; Mammalia; Eulipotyphla; Erinaceidae. The record is from Ensembl.